CCUACGGGCGGCAGCAGUAGGGAAUCUUCCACAAUGGGCGAAAGCCUGAUGGAGCAACGCCGCGUGGGUGAAGAAGGUCUUCGGAUCGUAAAACCCUGUUGUUAGAGAAGAAAGUGCGUGAGAGUACCUGUUCACGUUUCGACGGUAUCUAACCAGAAAGCCCCGGCUAACUACGUGCCAGCAGCCGCGGUAAUACGUAGGUGGCAAGCGUUAUCCGGAUUUAUUGGGCGUAAAGGGAACGCAGGCGGUCUUUUAAGUCUGAUGUGAAAGCCUUCGGCUUAACCGGAGUAGUGCAUUGGAAACUGGGAGACUUGAGUGCAGAAGAGGAGAGUGGAACUCCAGGUGUAGCGGUGAAAUGCGUAGAUAUAUGGAAGAACACCAGUGGCGAAAGCGGCUCUCUGGGCUGUAACUGACGCUGAGGUUCGAAAGCGUGGGUAGCAAACAGGAUUAGAUACCCGAGUAGUC
This 465-nucleotide ribosomal RNA is filed under the name uncultured bacterium. RNAcentral describes it as "partial 16S ribosomal RNA". It matches the Rfam family "Bacterial small subunit ribosomal RNA", at positions 338 to 795 of the family's 1533-position model. The record is from RNAcentral.